UGAUACCAGGGUCAAAAGGUUAUGCGUUUCAUGCUUGCAUGAAAAAGCAUGACCUUGGGACCCUGGUAUCAUAGUAUUAUGAAAAAAGAAAAAUGUACCCAAUUCCUCUAUAAAUAUCA
This 119-nucleotide small RNA is filed under the name Muricomes intestini. RNAcentral describes it as "Clostridiales-1 RNA". Lineage: Bacteria; Bacillati; Bacillota; Clostridia; Lachnospirales; Lachnospiraceae. The record is from RNAcentral.